UGCCAAGUUGGUUUUAGCGGCGACGGCACAACUUGUGAUGAUAUCAGAACAUGCAUUUUGGGACCACCAGGAACAGAAUUUUGGUUCAGCACAAACGAUGGUACAAAAUGUUUGAAUUAUUUCACACCUAAUGGCAACACUGGAAUCACCUUUGCCGCCGCCAGUACUUUUUGUUCACAGCAAGCGACGGGGGCCACUCUUGCCAUUAUACUAAAUGAAGACGAGCAGGCCAAGGCAGAAAUUCUUAUUCCAACCAGCUCAUCGUUAAUCCUGCACUGGAUAGGACUUGAGAAGUUCACCACCGGUAGCUGGCAAUGGACAGAUGGCACGUCUUUAGGAUACAUAAACUGGGAUGGAAGUGGAGGGGGAACUGAUCCAACCAAUGCCGCUAAGAGCUGUGGGGCCAUUAACACUAAAAAUUUUCCUCUUGUUAAGUGGAAAGACCAAACCUGCGAUGCCAG
Long non-coding RNA from Lingula anatina, 461 nucleotides. The record is from RefSeq and is a predicted model, not a curated record. Lineage: Eukaryota; Metazoa; Brachiopoda; Lingulata; Lingulida; Lingulidae.